RNAcentral lists this ribosomal RNA (607 nucleotides) under uncultured Bacilli bacterium. RNAcentral describes it as "bacterial SSU rRNA". It matches the Rfam family "Bacterial small subunit ribosomal RNA", at positions 85 to 680 of the family's 1533-position model. Lineage: Bacteria; Bacillati; Bacillota; Bacilli. The record is from RNAcentral.
UUCCGGAUGAGUUGCGAACGGGUGAGUAACGCGUAGGUAACCUGCCUGGUAGCGGGGGAUAACUAUUGGAAACGAUAGCUAAUACCGCAUAAGAGUAGAUAUCGCAUGAUAGCUGCUUGAAAGGUGCAAUUGCACCACUACCAGAUGGACCUGCGUUGUAUUAGCUAGUUGGUGAGGUAACGGCUCACCAAGGCAACGAUACAUAGCCGACCUGAGAGGGUGAUCGGCCACACUGGGACUGAGACACGGCCCAGACUCCUACGGGAGGCAGCAGUAGGGAAUCUUCGGCAAUGGACGAAAGUCUGACCGAGCAACGCCGCGUGAGUGAAGAAGGUUCUCGGAUCGUAAAGCUCUGUUGUAAGAGAAGAACGAGUGUGAGAGUGGAAAGUUCACACUGUGACGGUAUCUUACCAGAAAGGGACGGCUAACUACGUGCCAGCAGCCGCGGUAAUACGUAGGUCCCGAGCGUUGUCCGGAUUUAUUGGGCGUAAAGCGAGCGCAGGCGGUUAGAUAAGUCUGAAGUUAAAGGCUGUGGCUUAACCAUAGUACGCUUUGGAAACUGUUUAACUUGAGUGCAAGAGGGGAGAGUGGAAUUCCAUGUGUAGCG